GAUGAACGCUGGCGGCGUGCCUAAUACAUGCAAGUCGAGCGAACAGAUGAGGAGCUUGCUCCUCUGACGUUAGCGGCGGACGGGAGAGUAACACGUGGAUAACCUACCUAUAAGACUGGGAUAACUUCGGAAAACCGGAGCUAAUCCCGGAUAAUAUAUUGAACCGCAGGGUUCAAUAGUGAAAGACGGUUUUGCUGUAACGUAUCGAUGGAUCCGCGCCGCAUUGGCUGGUUGGUAAGGUAACGGCUUACCAAGGCGACUAGGCGUAGCCGAACUGAGAGGGUGAUCGGCCACCCGGGAACUUAGACGCGGACCAGACGCCUACGGGAGGCAGCAGUAGGGAACCUUCCGCAAUGGGCGAGAGCCUGACGGAGCAGCGCCGCGUGAGAUAUGAAGGUCUUCGGUGCGUAAAACUCUGUUACUAGGGAAGAACAAAUGUGGAAGUAACUAUGCACGUCUUGACGGUACCUAAUCAGAAAGCCACGGCUAACUACGUG
This 497-nucleotide ribosomal RNA is filed under the name uncultured bacterium. RNAcentral's name for it is "partial 16S ribosomal RNA". It matches the Rfam family "Bacterial small subunit ribosomal RNA", at positions 28 to 507 of the family's 1533-position model. The record is from RNAcentral.